CGGCCCCCUGGACAAAGACUGACGCUCAGAUGCGAAAGCGUGGGUAGCAAACAGGAUUAGAUACCCUGGUAGUCCACGCCGUAAACGCUGUCUACUUGGAGGUUGAGGUUUUAGACUUUGGCUUUCGGCGCUAACGCAUUAAGUAGACCGCCUGGGGAGUACGGCCGCAAGGUUAAAACUCAAAUGAAUUGAAGGGGGCCCGCACAAGCGGUGGAGCAUGUGGUUUAAUUCGAUGCAACGCGAAGAACCUUACCUACUCUUGACAUCCAGCGAAGCCUUUAGAGAUAGAGGCGUGCCUUCGGGAGCGCUGAGACAGGUGCUGCAUGGCUGUCGUCAGCUCGUGUUGUGAAAUGUUGGGUUAAGUCCCGCAACGAGCGCAACCCUUAUCCUUGUUUGCCAGCACGUAAUGGUGGGAACUCCGGGGAGACUGCCGGUGAUAAACCGGAGGAAGGUGGGGACGACGUCAAGUCAUCAUGGCCCUUACGAGUAGGGCUACACACGUGCUACAAUGGCAGAUACAGAGGGCAGCGAGACAGCGAUGUUUAGCGAAUCCCUUAAAGUUUGUCGUAGUCCGGAUUGGAGUCUGCAACUCGACUCCAUGAAGUCGGAAUCGCUAGUAAUCGUGGAUCAGAAUGCCACGGUGAAUACGUUCCCGGGCCUUGUACACACCGCCCGU
Molecule: ribosomal RNA, 676 nt
Filed under: uncultured bacterium
Lineage: Bacteria
Description: bacterial SSU rRNA
Rfam family: Bacterial small subunit ribosomal RNA
Source: RNAcentral